This is a long non-coding RNA of Ipomoea nil (Japanese morning glory), 280 nucleotides long. RefSeq lists it as uncharacterized. Lineage: Eukaryota; Viridiplantae; Streptophyta; Magnoliopsida; Solanales; Convolvulaceae. The transcript is spliced from 2 exons. The record is from RefSeq and is a predicted model, not a curated record.
UACUCAUUCUGUUUUAGGCAGAGGUUUACUACCAGGCAAGAAGCUUCUCCCUUGAUAAUCUUCGACCCACAUACUAUAAAAUCAAUGGAGUUGUAUACAUCAUACAUGUAUGCAUAUGGAUAUUCCUCAACAGUCCUGAAUAUAAGCAAAUAAACUAUAGCUUUAGAAACUAAAGCUUAAUUGCAUGUGAUCAACUGUGAGACCAAUUCAAGAAACUCCAACAUUACUAACACAUACCAACACACUUCAUCAUGUUCAGCAACCAACUCAAAUACAAAAU